This 476-nucleotide ribosomal RNA is filed under the name uncultured bacterium. Its description in RNAcentral is "bacterial SSU rRNA". It matches the Rfam family "Bacterial small subunit ribosomal RNA", at positions 55 to 518 of the family's 1533-position model. The record is from RNAcentral.
AUGCAAGUCGAGGGGCAGACAUAAAAGUAGCAAUACGUUGGUGGCGACCGGCGCGACGGGUGAGUAACGCGUAUGCAACCUACCUAUCAGGAGGGGAAUAACCCGGCGAAAGUCGGACUAAUACCGCAGUAAAACAGGGGCACCGCAUGGUGAUAUUUGUUAAAGAAAUUCGCUGAUAGAUGGGCAUGCGUUCCAUUAGGUAGUUGGUGAGGUAACGGCUCACCAAGCCGACGAUGGAUAGGGGAACUGAGAGGUUGGUCCCCCACACUGGUACUGAGACACGGACCAGACUCCUACGGGAGGCAGCAGUGAGGAAUAUUGGUCAAUGGGCGGGAGCCUGAACCAGCCAAGUCGCGUGAAAGGAAGAAGGAUCUAUGGUUCGUAAACUUCUUUUGCAGGGGAAUAAAGUGCAGGACGUGUCCUGUUUUGUAUGUACCCUGAGAAUAAGGAUCGGCUAACUCCGUGCCAGCAGCCGC